GUGCUCACUUGGGCAGCACAUAUACUAAAAUUGGAACAAUACAGAGAAGAUUAGCAUGGCCCUUGCACAAAGAUGACACAUAAAUUCAUGAAACGUUUCAUAUUUUU
Nyctereutes procyonoides (raccoon dog) is the source of this 107-nucleotide small nuclear RNA. NCBI's taxonomy places the organism in Eukaryota, Metazoa, Chordata, Mammalia, Carnivora, Canidae. The record is from RefSeq and is a predicted model, not a curated record.